Non-coding RNA from Rattus norvegicus (Norway rat), 371 nucleotides. NCBI's taxonomy places the organism in Eukaryota, Metazoa, Chordata, Mammalia, Rodentia, Muridae. The record is from RefSeq and is a predicted model, not a curated record.
AUCCACCUGACAUCCAGGACCGGGGACACAGACGGCCCACUCCACCCUUCCUGUCCUUGAGCAGAAUAAACAGAUGUCCUUGAUGCCAGCUCCCCUCCCUCCACGUACACAGCCACACAGCCUGGGCCAGUCCACCAGGCCCAGCAGAAGUGACAGAAUCUCCUCUGGCUUUUUCCAAGCACGGUUGUCCACUCUACCCUAGGAUUCGCCUACUUGGAAGCACAGUACUACACAGGUGGUGCUGUCUGAAUGCUGUUUUCCGGCCUGGAUGGCAUUUCCAUCAUGGAGUCGGUUGUGCUAAGGUCUGGGGCUGCUGCUACACCACGGACAUUUCCCAUUCUGCACACUUAUGUGCUGGGAACAUCUUCCCC